RNAcentral lists this long non-coding RNA (1744 nucleotides) under Lathyrus oleraceus (garden pea). Its description in RNAcentral is "Pisum sativum (pea) long non-coding RNA (PSAT_LNC000415)". Lineage: Eukaryota; Viridiplantae; Streptophyta; Magnoliopsida; Fabales; Fabaceae. The record is from RNAcentral.
ACAUACUGUGUAAAAAAACAUUAAACCAAACACUGUUAAACAUUGGCAACCUAAUAUGCAUAUAUUCAUGAACGCAUCAGUAUAUAAAAAUGCAGCCUCUAAAUUAAACACAAACAAAACGCAUUUGGAUCCCGAUUGAUAACCGACAAAUGCAAUAUUAAAACAUAUGUAUCGACACUUCAUAUUAAGUCGGCAUGAAGGCUCUUGCGGGAUAACAAUCAAAAUGGUACUAUAACGAUUUAUAUCCAAACAACUCUCUUAAAAAUCAGUCCAACAAUGUUGAUAAUCCCUCGGGCCGAUUCAUACGUGAUCGAAACACAACGAACCGAUACCGAACUGUUUGUAUUAUUCCAGAAUUGAUGCAACUUUCCUUCUACAUUUCAUGAAUAAAUAUCCUGCAACUUAAAAUUGAUACUCACAAUAGUCAUAACAACAUGAAAACAAAGAUUAACGCCAUUUGCUUCUCCACACAAUAUAUUCUAUAAUACGCACAACAAGAAUAUAUUUUAUCAACACACAGAGGAUUAAGAAUAUGCGAUGCAAUGUUAGAUUUGUGCAGUUAAAAAAUCAAAUUAAAAUUUUAAACUUGAAAUGAAAAGAUUACCGAUGCUGAGUUGGUUACCGUAACGACAACUGAAGGGGCUCAAAAUUUCCUCAGAAGCUUUAUGGUGGUUUGCUGAUUUCGUUGAGGACUUCGGCGGCGACGGAUUCUGGCGAUGGCACGGUGACGGCGUUUGAUGGAUGAAGGGGUGGUUGCCGACGCGAAUCGCGAAUGGAGAGGAAGGUGGAGGAUGUAAUCACCGGCGUUACCGCAAUGGAGAAGGUUGCGUGUUUGGUGGUCGACGGUGUGAAUAGUGAAUUCGAACACGAACGGAGGUUUGUCGGUGAUGAGCUGAGCCGUGUCGAUUCCGGCGGAAGGAAAAUAGAUGAGCGAGGCGAUGGUGUCGAUGUGGUGUUCCGCAGCGGGUUUUGAAGGUGUGCCGACAAUGGUGUUUUUUUUCGCUGGUUUUGUGGGGGAUUUGGACGGGGCUUGGUGGUGGAUGGCGGACGAUUGAGGGUGCACCGGUGAGCACCGCGACGAGGUUGAAGGGGUCGCGGUGAUAUGAAAAGGGGGUUACGUUAGUUUGUGUGAUUAGGUUUUCCGACGAGCGGCGGAGAGUUUUUUUUUGCUUGAUGGCGAUGGAAAGAUGAAGAAGAAGACAAGGUUCUUCUCCUUUCUCAGAGAGAGAGAGAGAGAGAGAGAGAGAGAGAGAGAGAGAGAGAGAGAGAACCGUGAGUCUGUCUCUUUUUCAAUUUUCUUUUUUUUUUUGUUUCUUCUUUUCGCUUUUUUAGAGUGUGCCAGUCUGUGAAAGAGAACCGUGAGUCUGUCUCUUUUUCAAUUUUCUUUUUUUUUUUGUUUCUUCUUUUCGCUUUUUUAGAGUGUGCCAGUCUGUGAGAGAGAGAGAGAGCUUAAGAGAGAUUGAAGAGGGGAAUGGGUGCCCUGUGUAAUGAGUGUGAGAGAGAGUAUAUGAGUGAGAAAACGUGUAGUGGAGAUGAACCUCUCUCUUUUUUUGUUUUUAAUCCUUUCCUUUAUUUUUUUGUCAGAGAGAGACGUUGGGGAAAUUAAUGUGUGACUAUCCCCUUUUCAUUUCCCCCUAUUUUUUGUGGAUGGAAACAGCUUGCAAAAAUCCAACAAAAAAAUGAGUUGUUGCUAGUUGUCAAUUGCCAAUGGAAUCCAAUGUCAAAUGUAUUUUAUUAUUAUUUU